CAAGUCAUCAUGGCCCUUACGACCAGGGCUACACACGUGCUACAAUGGCGCAUACAAAGAGAAGCGACCUCGCGAGAGCAAGCGGACCUCAUAAAGUGCGUCGUAGUCCGGAUUGGAGUCUGCAACUCGACUCCAUGAAGUCGGAAUCGCUAGUAAUCGUGGAUCAGAAUGCCACGGUGAAUACGUUCCCGGGCCUUGUACACACCGCCCGUCACACCAUGGGAGUGGGUUGCAAAAGAAGUAGGUAGCUUAACCUUCGGGAGGGCGCUUACCACUUUGUGAUUCAUGACUGGGGUGAAGUCGUAACAAGGUAACCGUAGGGGAACCUGC
RNAcentral lists this ribosomal RNA (330 nucleotides) under Salmonella enterica. RNAcentral describes it as "partial 16S ribosomal RNA". It matches the Rfam family "Bacterial small subunit ribosomal RNA", at positions 1186 to 1515 of the family's 1533-position model. Lineage: Bacteria; Pseudomonadati; Pseudomonadota; Gammaproteobacteria; Enterobacterales; Enterobacteriaceae. The record is from RNAcentral. RNAcentral also lists the same sequence under 1 other name.